This is a long non-coding RNA of Bos taurus (domestic cattle), 2121 nucleotides long. NCBI's taxonomy places the organism in Eukaryota, Metazoa, Chordata, Mammalia, Artiodactyla, Bovidae. The record is from Ensembl.
GGUACCCUGAGGGCCGCACGUUAGACAGCGUGCCCUCUGGAGCUGCUCCUCCGCGGGGCCACGCUGACAGAGGCCCUGGCCGUUUCGACCCUGCGCGCUCCGGAUCGGACUCCAGGUGUCCCGCUCCCCGCAGGGCCCAGGAUGGGUGGGGUCUCCAGUUAGUGCUGUUUGGAGCUCCCUUUUUAACAAGAAUGCGAAAUUAGAUACGAAGGCUCAGAGAAGUUUUCCGCCUGGGCCAGUGGACAGUAACUGAUUGGAAUAUAAUCAUUCGCUCAUUAUGUCACUUUCCCAAACUUACUCUGCAUCAGGCCAGCACUAAUCAGGAGCUCCACCUCAAAGCUCAGAGUCCUGUUGGGAUAAUGUGCAUAAUGACUGUCUCAGACUGUGAGAUGGAAACCAGGCCGUCCCUGGUGUUCUUCUCAAACUUAGGGAAAAGGGCAGAAUCCUAAUAAGCGGAAGUAGCUCACGUGAGCAGCUGAGUGAGUGUUGUUCUGGGCCUUUCCUGAGAUGGACAGCCUACCCCCAGCCAAGGACAGAGAUGAAAGCGGCGCCCAGCAGCCCAGUCAGAUGGAUGGAGUGGCCUGAUUUCCCGAGGCAGCUUCGUGCUGAGUGCCCAUCACUGGGAGUGAGUCAGACAUACAGCUCAAGGUCUGCAGUAACAGAGUCAGGGAGACAAGGCAUAUACCACAAACUCAUGAAAAGUAACAGUACAGAAAGUAAGUAACGAUACAAGGGAGGCAGUAUGUUAUUAAUUGUCAGAGAACACAAGGUAGGAAGUCUGGGGCCCUGGAGAGCCUAGCAGAGUUGCCUCAGCACUGGAAUACUUUGUGCAAGAAGCAGGAACUGGAUAGGUGGGGGGAGGGUGCUGGGUACAGGCAGCUGAUGAACAAAGAUGGAAUGCAGGGAUCAACGGGCAAGUGGCGGUUAGGGUAGAGCUGGGUGCAGGCAGUGCCAAGGGAUUGGUGGGCACAGGUCCUCCAGGCCACCUGGGAGUAGUGGGAAGAAUUGGGAAAGUUGGGCAGGAGCUGGACAGGGAGGAAACAGACUGCUGGGUCUGGCUUCCCUCUGGUGUCUAACCAUGAGCUUCUGAAGGCUUUUCCGUAGGAAAAGUUAUGAAACCCGGUGUUACAUUCUCAAGAUCACAGGACUUCUCAUCACAAAUUGUUCAUAUUAUUCUGUUAGAAACCAGUUCCAGUGCUGGUGAGUACUCUGAAUUUUUGUUUCUUAAAGAGUAUCAAAGUUCAUGAUUAUUUUAUUGUCAGUACACAUCCUCUCUAUUGUGAAGGGCACACAGGAAGCCUUGUUUUUGUUUCUCCAGUGAAGUAAUGAAGGGCAGACUGGCUCUGCUGACAUGGGCAAGUUAGUCAAUCUCUCUGCCUCCUAGGAGUAAUACACAGGGCAGUCAGAGCUUCUGUCAGUCAGAGGUGUAUCGUGAGGAUGGCCCGAGCCAGUAUCGAGACAGUCCUUAGAGACGUACCUGGCAUGCAGAGAGCUGCAGGAGGGUUUACUGACCGAAUCACAGACAAUUCUGAUAGCACUUUCCCCUGUCAGGACAGCUCAGAUAGAAACACUGGAAGUUUCAGGCCUUAUUCGAAUCUUUUCUUCUAGAAAGAGGGUUUUCAAGAGGGGUAGCCCCAGAGCCCCCUCAGAAUGGAGGGUUUGAGCUGGAAGAGGCUUAUGAGAGCAGCCAGUGCGGGGCCCCUUUUGCAGGUGAGGAAACUGAGAAUGUGGCCUCGUGGAGCAGCAGCCUCUGAACGGCUCCCUGGCUGUCUCUCCCCUCAUGCAGGGGCCUCCUCCCACCUCUGGGCUGCUGCCCUUGAUCUUUGCCCAGAGAGGUGUGCGCCCCCCCCACCCUCCUGCCUGCCUCUUCGUCCCCUCACUCUGCUCUCUGUACUGCUCCCUGGCUGUGCCUGUAAGUGCUCGUGCGUGCACUGUGGCUCCUCCAUAAGCCUCACCAGGCAGGGGGCCUGUGGUCCUGCUCUCUUCCGGCACUUGUGUCCGGCAUGGACACAGCCCCUGGAUGAAAGAACAAAGCUUUGGAAGCCCUGGUUCGGGUAUGUCUCCUUCACAUCUCUUCCUUCCGCGGCUCAAUGUAAAGAGCAGCAAUGCGGCCAGACCCUG